CUAGAGACUAAAAGCAUCACAGCUUUUGUCUACCCUGCUCGGGUUCGACGCAUUCUUUCCUCCCGGCAAGCGACAGCCUCACACUCAUCCUCCUGACCAGCAAGCAGCUCGUGGAGGCAUUUGUUUGGAUCGGAGGCAGGAGCCAAGAGGAGGGUGGGUGUCCGUUCAGGAGGCUUACGGAAGGGAAGGAGAAGCAAGUUGAAGCAGCCGGGCAGUAAGUUAUUUCUAGCUGCUAAUAGAUCCUUUUUGUCACAAUCCUUUGCUCCCCACAAGGCCGGUAGUACCAACAGAAUGUUCUCCUUCUCUAGUUACUUGCAUGGUCCUCUCUGUGUGUGUGUGUCCUUUUAGUCAUGGCAUAGAGGAGCAUGUCUCUGCUGCAACAAGUACUUUAAUGCUUCUUUUUAGCGCUGAUAGAUCUGUUGUCGCUGGGGGGUGGAGAACGACUAACCCACCCGUGCGUUCCCCACAACAUUCAGACCCAAAAUCGGGUUUCUUAAAAUCUACUGCUCCUCGGAGCUCUCUCCGCACUUCGUGGGCCGCGUGGCACACAGCAGUGAGGCUGGCCACUUGCUAUCAUCUCUCCUCCUCAUCCGUGGGCCCCACACGACCUCCUCCCCUCUCUUUUCUCAUUUGUUAAAUGUUGUAGAGCCCCUCUCGCAUUUAUUCUCAGAAACAGAGGGCGGCGGCGGCGGAAGGCGCGGCCUCGCCGACGAGCCCACAUAAGCAGCGCGGAGUCUGGAGAUGGAAAGCGGCGGCGGCGCAGCCUCAUCCACAAGGGAUUCCCCAAAGUCUCCUCCCUCUAUCUACUCCCUGCCUCCGAUGGUGUGCACCCGCUGCCCGCUCCUGAAGUAUCGCUAGACAUUGGAUAAUGCAACAACUCUUCUUUUAUCUAUCUUCCCCCACCCCCGCCGUUGCUUGCAGCAGCCCCCGUCGCUGCUCGUGGCCUACCUCUGCGACGGCGUGCCUCCAGCGGGAUGGAGCUACUCGGUGGUGUCGUAUUCCUUUGUCCUUUCUCAGCCCUUUAAUUUACUUCACCCCUCUUUGUAACAACUCAUAUCCGCCCACCGGCCACCACUUCCCUCUAGAUCCGCUGGUGGCCAUGGAAACAGGGGUGGCCCUUUGAAGCUCCACGUAGCGCAGAGGAAAUGCUUUAGUUUUUAGAGCUGCAAUCGCCCCAGCUCCCGCCGCCAGCCAUUGAUUUGGACGUGCUCAGGCUUUGGAGCUUAAGAGUUAAGAUAUUCUCCUCCCCCACCAGGUAGGCGACCACAAGUACAGGCAGGUCUUAAGUCUAGCUGCAUCAUCCGAGAGGGCACAGGCAAGAGUGAUGAUUUCACCAUAUACAACCACAAGCAAACUCUCUGAUUGGUCGAUUUUCAUACAAAUUAAAUAAAUUAAUUGAUGAGGUUUUUCUCCCUUCAUUUUACCAUUGAUCUAUGCUUGAUUUUAUUUUUCCCUGCAUAUAUUGCCGUAAUCAUGGCAGGAACAUAAAAAAGUAUUUCCAAGUUUAACUGAAGCAUAAUUCCUAUAUCUCAUAUCCAUUAUAUUAUUUGGAUAACAAUUGUAGGAGUAGAUGCAGUUAGUAUCACUAAGUACAUUUAUAAUUAUUUAUAUUUGCCAAUUAGAUUAUUUUAUGUAUGUUAGAAGUUUGAUUUGCACAGAUGAGUGCAUUGGAAAGAUAGUUUUAACUACAGUCUGAAAAUGCAAAUUAUAUCAUUUUAUAGGGUCCAACCUGCAGGUCGAUUCAUUUGACUACAACUCUACAGGAAUAUAUACAGGUUAUACUCUUAUGCAGUGUUUUUUGUUUACUUCUCUUUUGAAUGUCUUAAUUUCAAUGGUCAUUUGGUUUGCAUGAUUCACUGCAAGUUGCCUUGGAUCCUGAAAUCGAUGAUGUAGCAGUGGAUAGUGAAAAGAAGCUACACAUGUAUCCAUUUCUCAGUGAACUCUAAAUAAUGAACUACUUUGGGUUGGCUCCUAAAGAGAUCAUGCAUCUUCAUUUUCUUCCCCUCUUCAGACUUGCAGGAGUGUGGUCAUUAUACCACUUUUAGUUCAGAUUGUGUUUACAAGGCUCCUAUUUCUACUUAUAUUUGAGCUACAUCAUUUUACUGUUUACCUGUGCUUGUGUUCAUCCAUCAUCACCCGUUGUAUUUCCCACACUUUUAUAGAGUACCAUUAAUCCCCUGAAAACCAUAAUUUAAUAUUUUAGGAGCUACAAACUCAUAUCUUAGUAUAUUCAUGAAGUCAUGAUAAAAUUUUCCUAUAAGCUUUGCAUCAAAGAAUGCAGACUUUCAUGAUAAUUUAUUUUAUAAGUUCUUUCGUGCUUUAUGUUGCUUUGUGUCCCUGAGCUGUUACGGUUUAGAAACUGCAAAUCUAAUAAACUAUGGCAAUUGGGUAUCUUGCUUUGGAAGGUAUCAGGUUUUUAGCUUGUCUGUUGCUGGCGUUAUCAAAUCACCUAAGGCUUUCAGUAAAAGUUGAAUGAAAAGGUAGAAUUUUUUCUACUUGGUUUCUAGACUGUGAUGAUUAGUUUUGUAAUAUUACUGUAGCGAGCUUUUGAACGAAGAAUCUGACGGCUUUAAAGCUCUCUAUUGAUGAGACAUUGUUGUCAGAUCUUGAAUUUACGGCAUCCCAUAGAGUUAUAUUACAAUAUUUUCUUAUAUUUUCUUGAUGCGUGUUCACCUUUUCUUUUGUUUGUUUGCCUACUAUCUAUAUACCAUGUGUGUUUUGCUCUAUACAAGACAUGUCCCUGAUAUUGUAAUAUAUUGUAAUUCUACCUGGGUACAAACAUGCGGGACAAACUUUGUGGAAUAAAAAUUUUGCUGCUGCAGAUUUUGUAAUGGAUUUGUCUUUUCAUUAA
Molecule: long non-coding RNA, 2851 nt
Organism: Panicum virgatum (switchgrass)
Lineage: Eukaryota; Viridiplantae; Streptophyta; Magnoliopsida; Poales; Poaceae
Exons: 2
Source: RefSeq, a predicted model, not a curated record